UCUUCGAGAUAAAAUAAUAAGAAAUUUCUUGUCCACUUACUAGCUAGAGAGAAGAAAAAGGAUUUGAGAGACUUGCUUUUUUGGCUCCAUAUGUGUAUUGAGUAUACUUUUAUUUUGACAAUUCUGCAGUGUUCCAACUUUUUUAGCUGUUAAUAAAAUCUAUGGAGCUAAUGUUACAAAGGAAUCUGCCCAUAACUCAUGUAGGCUCUGCUGAUAUUUCUUCCACGUCAGGACAAAGCUACCAAACAGGUCCUGACCUCAAGAAGCAGAAGUAAAGGGUUCCAAGCUCAUUAUUCUACACGAAAAAUCUCUACAAGUGAUGGAGUGUGGCACAUGAGGCUUGGACAUCCUCACUCUCAGAUUUUUCAGUUCCUGUGUUAGAAGAAGUCUAUUAGUGUCAAUAAGAGUAUCAUGAAAUCUUGUGAUUCACGUCACCUAGGAAAGAGUAGUCGUCUGCCUUUUGUUGCUUCUAGUUCCGUUGCGUCUAGACCCUUAGAGUGAAUCCAUUGUGAUCCCUGGGGGUCUCUCUCCAAUAAUGUCUAAUCAAGGACUCAAAUUUUAUGUCA
Raphanus sativus (radish) is the source of this 566-nucleotide long non-coding RNA. RefSeq lists it as uncharacterized. Lineage: Eukaryota; Viridiplantae; Streptophyta; Magnoliopsida; Brassicales; Brassicaceae. The record is from RefSeq and is a predicted model, not a curated record. The transcript has 2 exons.